Molecule: non-coding RNA, 86 nt
Organism: Tephrocybe rancida
Lineage: Eukaryota; Fungi; Basidiomycota; Agaricomycetes; Agaricales; Lyophyllaceae
Source: the annotation of a GenBank genome assembly
GCAUUAAUGGGGUAGUGGUAACCUGGGUCGUUGCCAUCUCGAGAGCUCAUCUCGACCCGCCGGGGGUUCGAUUCCCUCUUAAUGCA